This 200-nucleotide ribosomal RNA is filed under the name uncultured bacterium. Its description in RNAcentral is "partial 16S ribosomal RNA". It matches the Rfam family "Bacterial small subunit ribosomal RNA", at positions 29 to 256 of the family's 1533-position model. The record is from RNAcentral.
AGCGAACGCUGGCGGCAGGCCUAACACAUGCAAGUCGAACGAACUCUUCGGAGUUAGUGGCGGACGGGUGAGUAACACGUGGGAACGUGCCUUUAGGUUCGGAAUAGCUCCUGGAAACGGGUGGUAAUGCCGAAUGUGCCCUUCGGGGGAAAGAUUUAUCGCCUUUAGAGCGGCCCGCGUCUGAUUAGCUAGUUGGUUGG